RNAcentral lists this ribosomal RNA (274 nucleotides) under uncultured bacterium. RNAcentral's name for it is "partial 16S ribosomal RNA". It matches the Rfam family "Bacterial small subunit ribosomal RNA", at positions 523 to 796 of the family's 1533-position model. The record is from RNAcentral.
AUACGGAGGUUGCAAGCGUUAAUCGGAAUUACUGGGCGUAAAGCGUACGUAGGCGGUUCGUUAAGUUAGAUGUGAAAGCCCCGGGCUUAACCUGGGAACUGCAUUUAAAACUGGCGAACUAGAGUUGAGUAGAGGGGAGUGGAAUUUCAGGUGUAGCGGUGAAAUGCGUAGAGAUCUGAAGGAACACCAGUGGCGAAGGCGACUCCCUGGACUCGAACUGACGCUGAGGUACGAAAGCGUGGGUAGCAAACGGGAUUAGAUACCCUAGUAGUCC